Molecule: ribosomal RNA, 785 nt
Filed under: uncultured bacterium
Lineage: Bacteria
Description: bacterial SSU rRNA
Rfam family: Bacterial small subunit ribosomal RNA
Source: RNAcentral
AGAGUUUGAUCCUGGCUCAGAGCGAACGCUGGCGGCGUGCUUAACACAUGCAAGUCGAGUGCGCGCCUGUAGCAAUACAGGUGGCGCACGGCGCACGGGUGCGUAACACGUGGGUAAUCUGCCCUUCGAUGGGGAAUAACUCCGGGAAACCGAAGCUAAUUCCGCAUAACAUUCCUUGAACUUCGGUUUGGGGACUCAAAGCCGUAAGGCGUCGGAGGAGGAACCCGCGCACGAUUAGCUAGUUGGUAGGGUAACGGCCUACCAAGGCUUUGAUCGUUAGCUGGUCUGAGAGGAUGGCCAGCCACACUGGAACUGAGACACGGUCCAGACUCCUACGGGAGGCAGCAGUGGGGAAUCUUGCACAAUGGGCGAAAGCCUGAUGCAGCGACGCCGCGUGGGGGAUGAAGCUUCUCGGAGUGUAAACCCCUUUCGACCCGGACGAAUACCUCGUAAGAGGGGUGACGGUACGGGUAUAAGAAGCCCCGGCUAACUACGUGCCAGCGGCCGCGGUAAGACGUGGGGGGCCAGCGUUGCUCGGAAUUACUGGGUGUAAAGGGUUCGUAGGCGGUGUGGCAAGUCGGGAGUGAAAUCUCUGGGCUUAACUCAGAGUCUGCUUCCGAAACUGCUGUGCUUGAGUGUGGGAGAGGCGCGUGGAAUUGCAGGUGUAGCGGUGAAAUGCGUAGAUAUCUGCAGGAACACCCGUGGCGAAAGCGGCGCGCUGGACCACUACUGACGCUGAGAACGAAAGCUAGGGGAGCAAACAGGAUUAGAUACCCUAGUAGUCC